Molecule: non-coding RNA, 23 nt
Filed under: Cricetulus griseus (Chinese hamster)
Lineage: Eukaryota; Metazoa; Chordata; Mammalia; Rodentia; Cricetidae
Source: RNAcentral
UACAGAGACCCUGUCUCGAAAGG